CCUACGGGUGGCAGCAGUGGGGAAUAUUGCGCAAUGGGCGAAAGCCUGACGCAGCGACGCCGCGUGAGGGAUGAAGGUCUUCGGAUCGUAAACCUCUGUUAGUAGGGAAGAACGGGCACUGUCCUAACCAGCAGUGCAUUGACGGUAUCUACAAAGGAAGCCCCGGCUAACUCCGUGCCAGCAGCCGCGGUAAUACGUAGGGUGCGUGCGUUGAUCGGAUUUAUUGGGCGUAAAGCGAGCGUAGGCGGUAUGUUAAGUCUGAGGUGAAAUCCCCGCGCUCAACGGGGGAAGUGCCUUUGAAACUGGCAGACUGGAGUGUGUGAGAGGAUAGUGGAAUUCCAGGUGUAGCGGUGAAAUGCGUAGAUAUCUGGAGGAACAUCAGUGGCGAAGGCGGCUAUCUGGCACGUAACUGACGCUGAGGCGCGAAAGCGUGGGUAGCAAACAGGAUUAGAUACCCCUGUAGUA
RNAcentral lists this ribosomal RNA (465 nucleotides) under uncultured bacterium. RNAcentral's name for it is "partial 16S ribosomal RNA". It matches the Rfam family "Bacterial small subunit ribosomal RNA", at positions 338 to 795 of the family's 1533-position model. The record is from RNAcentral.